RNAcentral lists this ribosomal RNA (155 nucleotides) under uncultured bacterium. Its description in RNAcentral is "partial 16S ribosomal RNA". It matches the Rfam family "Bacterial small subunit ribosomal RNA", at positions 1345 to 1500 of the family's 1533-position model. The record is from RNAcentral.
CAGAUCAGCAUGCUGCGGUGAAUACGUUCCCGGGCCUUGUACACACCGCCCGUCACACCAUGGGAGUCGGUAACACCCGAAGCCUGUAGUCUAACCGCAAGGAGGACGCAGUCGAAGGUGGGAUUGAUGACUGGGUGAAGUCGUAACAAGGUAUC